This 1265-nucleotide long non-coding RNA is filed under the name Brassica napus (rape). RNAcentral's name for it is "long non-coding RNA (BNAP_LNC009059)". The record is from RNAcentral. Lineage: Eukaryota; Viridiplantae; Streptophyta; Magnoliopsida; Brassicales; Brassicaceae.
CUUCCUUAUCCCCUCCUCCCUCGGGGUGUAGGAGAAGUCGAAACAUUCUAGAGCUCCGCUCCACUCCCAGUAAUGGCGGCGACAUGGACUUGUUUUGUAACUUCGUUGUGUAUUUCUUCACCUUCUUAUAAACCAUCGUCCUCAUCGUUGCACGGUCUGUCUUUCCGGAGGCAAGCAGUGACCAGAACGAACAGAUUUUUUACCAGUUAAGAUCUUAAUUGAGAGUGUGUUUUUUUUUUAUCUUCUGAUUAGAGUCUCUCUGACGGACGGUGAUGAUUUUGCAGGGAUAUAUGCGCUGUCUAGCAACGACAUCAAAGUCGGGACAAGCAUAGAAGUCGAUGGUGCUCCGUGGCGUGUUCUGGGUAUUCCUUCUUUCUUUCUUUCUUCUUCGAAAUUGUAUGUAUGUAUGGUCUCGUUUGUGUGAUUUUAAGGAAUUGGUUUUAUGGACAGAGUUUCUGCAUGUGAAGCCAGGCAAAGGUGCUGCUUUUGUCAGAACCAAAAUCAGGAACUACGUCAAUGGUAGCACAGUCGAGAGAACCUUUCGUGCUGGGAUUACUGUAAGUGAAGAUAACCUCCUCCUCCUCUUCCCUUAUCUUCGCUCUUAUCUUCCUCAUUUGAUUUAUUUCAGAUAGAAGAGGCCAAUGUCUCCAAGGAGACUAAGCAAUUCACUUAUAAAGACGGCUCUCAGUUUGUUUUCAUGGACUUGGUAUAAUAUAUAUAAUUUGAUUAGCUGCUGUUUUUGUCCCUCUAAAUUCUAAAUGGAUGUAUGGCUUUUUGAACCCCCUUCUUUUCUUUCUUUCUUUCUUUGUUUGUUGUUGUGCAGAGCAGUUAUGAGGAAACACGUUUAAACGAGGCUGAUAUGGGCGACAAGACCAAAUGGCUUAAAGAGGGAAUGGACUGCAAUUUGCUCUACUGGAAGGACAAGGUAAUAUCUACUUUUCUCACCACUGACUGAGGAGGAGGACCUUGUUCAUCAUCUCUUUCUCUCUCUUCCAGGUCAUCGAUUUUGAACUUCCCAUUACAGUUCAGCUUAAAAUAGUUGACGUUGAUCCUGGUCUCCGAGGUGACACACUCCCAGUAAUGGCGGCGACAUGGACUUGUUUUGUAACUUCGUUGUGUAUUUCUUCACCUUCUUAUAAACCAUCGUCGUUGCACGGUCUGUCUUUCCGGAGGCAAGCAGUGACCAGAACGAACAGAUUUUUUACCAGUUAAGAUCUUAAUUGAGAGUGUGUUUUUUUUUUAUCUUCUGAUUAGAGUCUCUCUGA